AAUGAACGCUGGCGGCGUGCCUAACACAUGCAAGUCGAACGAGAAAUUCCCUGCUUGCAGGGGAGAGUAAAGUGGCGCACGGGUGAGUAACGCGUGAGUAACCUGCCCCUGAAUCUGGAAUAACUCGCCGAAAGGCGCGCUAAUACCGGAUAUUGUCCCAGGGACCGUGGUCCUUGUGAUGAAAGAUGACCUCUUCACGAAAGUUGUCGUUCAGGGAGGGGCCCGCGUACCAUUAGCUAGUUGGUAGGGUAAUGGCCUACCAAGGCGAUGAUGGUUAGCUGGUCUGAGAGGAUGACCAGCCACACUGGCACUGAAACACGGGCCAGACUCCUACGGGAGGCUG
This 343-nucleotide ribosomal RNA is filed under the name uncultured Pseudomonadota bacterium. Its description in RNAcentral is "bacterial SSU rRNA". It matches the Rfam family "Bacterial small subunit ribosomal RNA", at positions 29 to 351 of the family's 1533-position model. Lineage: Bacteria; Pseudomonadati; Pseudomonadota. The record is from RNAcentral.